CCUACGGGAGGCUGCAGUGGGGGAUAUUUCACAAUGGGGGAAACCCUGAUCCAGCGACGCCGCGUGAGUGAAGAAGUAUUUCGGGAUGUAAAGCUCUUUCAGUAGGGAAGAAAGCAAUGACGGUACUUGACCAAGAAGCCGCGGCUAACUACGUGCCAGCCGCCGCGGUAAUACGUAGGGGGCAAGCGUGAUCCGGAAUGACUGGGUGUAAAGGGGGCGUAGACGGUGAUGAAAGUCUGGAGUGAAAGUGGGGGGCGCAACCGCCGGACUGCACUUGAUACUGUGUAACUUGAGUGCAGGAGGGGUAAGCAGAAUUCCUAGUGUAGCGGUGAAAUGCGUAGAUAUGAGGAGGAACACCGGUGGCGAAGGCGGCUUCCUGGA
Molecule: ribosomal RNA, 381 nt
Filed under: uncultured bacterium
Lineage: Bacteria
Description: partial 16S ribosomal RNA
Rfam family: Bacterial small subunit ribosomal RNA
Source: RNAcentral